Molecule: long non-coding RNA, 8992 nt
Organism: Cavia porcellus (domestic guinea pig)
Lineage: Eukaryota; Metazoa; Chordata; Mammalia; Rodentia; Caviidae
Exons: 5
Source: RefSeq, a predicted model, not a curated record
CCAGCACUCCAGAGUCUUACCUGGCGGCCCGGCCCCUGGCGGAGUGGCUGGGGCGCAGCCCAGGACAACCUGGCACCCUGGCGGGACACACUACACCCUCCGGCCCGCGCUGAGGCGAGCCGCGCAGAAGGGCCCACAGGGGACAGCGGAGGAAGCCGGAAACCUGCACCCCUCUACCGAUCUCUGGGAGGAAUUCCCAGCCGGUGAUGCCCACUUGCCCCUACCCAGGGCUAGAAAGGACAAAGCUGCAGGGCUGGGGCCCAAUGGAGUCAAGUGACAUCCGAAAGGGGGCUGGAGCCGGCUGGAAUGUGGGGCCUGCAGCCGGGAUGCUUAGGGGCCAGAGAGGGAAAUCCCAGCCGCCUAGGGGCCCUCUGCCCGGCGCCAGGAGCCAGCGGAGCCUGCCCAGCCACCCUGGCUCCUCGAGCUCACGUCCUCACACCGUGGCCAAUCCCAAGAGCAACAGGCCUCCUGGAACCCAAGUCCCUCCGCUGCCCCCAGGGUUUUCUUCUGCAUCCUGGGGAGAAUCGGAAGCUUCAGCUGGCUCCCCCAGAGUCCCCCAGCAAGAGCUUCUUCCAUAGCUCCAGGCCACAGGAAGUACCUGGGGACAGAGGGCACCCCUGUCCCGGAGCAGCCCUCAUCUGUUAAACCACACUGUCAAACAACACACUCCACUCCUUAGUCUGGAACUACGAUCCCCAGAGUCCCCAGAGCCGCCUGAUUGGAGUGGGAUGGAAUUCUGACAUCUGUGUCUCACAAAGGCGUCAUCAGCGCAGGGGAGGAAGCCACACACCAAAUGGCAAAGGAUCAGCCUCCCAUCUGGUUUCCCUGGCCCUUGCUGUCCCCCACCCAGCUCCUUCCGGCCAGGUAGUCUGAGUGGCAGCGGCAUGGCACCUGUUGCGUGCCAACCUGGCUGGUAGAGCAGCCCCUGGUGUCCCUGACCUUGGCACCUUGGCAGCCUGCUGGUGGUUACUUGGCCCUGAGUUUCCCUCUUCUUACUCUGCCAGCCGUAAUCAUUACGACUGUGCAGGGCAGGGCUCCGACCCCAGACCACAGCCGAGAGACAUGCACACCUGCCUCUCGGGCCCAGGGUCACCUCUGAGAGCAGGCGUGUGCAUUAACCCCAUUGCACAGGACAGGCUGGCUGCAGUGCAGACGGAGCCGGAGGCUGUGGGAGCCAGGUGCUCUUUUGUGCUGGAGAGGGCUUCACAGAAAGCUCAGAUCAGGUCUGCAGGCUGUGAAGCAAGAACAAGGCCUAUCGGAAAAUCAUCAGCCCGGAAAACCAGAGCUCAGACCUGUCAGGCCCCAUCAGCCUCUCCUGGGCAGCGGAGAACAGUGAGGGGGAAGCAGCCGGACAGCGCCAUCACCAUGGGUGGGGACGGCGGGUGAUGCCAAGAUACACCUCCUGCACCACUCAACUGGACCUUAGGGAAGCUGCCUGCAAGGACUCAUCCCCACCUCAGGGAUACACUGAUGAGGUGGUCCAUAGUAGCCCUCUGAGGCCCCCACCCCAUGCAUCAAAGAAAGCACUGCACCACCAUGGGCUUGUCUGCGGAGAGCCAUGUUCCCAUCAUGCCUUGGGAAUGCUUAGGUCUCUCGGAGGUCAAUGAGAGACCAUAACCCGUGCAAGGAUGCCCAAGGCACUGCCACGAAGAAGUUUGUUUGGCGCAGGGGAGGGAUCAUCUCAUGGACAGAGAGUGACCCCAAGGGGAGGGAGUCCUGGGCUUAUAGCCUGAAAACCACAGCCGGAGGCGUGGGCCCGAAGGCCAGAGCAGCCGUCCAGGGGGCACAAUAGGUACAUUCUGGGGUGGAGUUGUGAAAACCAGGAACAUCUCAGUGGGCCUGUAGUUCUUGGGAAAGAACGCAGAUGUCUUUGUGGUCGGUGCUGCCAACUGUCUUUGUGGCUAGAUUUUGCUUUUCUGCUUCUGGGAAAACUUGUGUGGGCAGCCGAGCUGCAGCCUCUAGCAGGCUGCACCCUGGGCCCCUCUUCCCUUCACCCAGAAGCUCAGGGGCCCUUUCCGCUUCAGCCUUUUGUUUUAAAGGAUGGAGGGAGUGAGAGUGGUCUCCUAGGGCAGGUGGAGUGUGAACUGCAUAUCGGGGAUGCAAGGGAUGCAGUGCUCCCCAAAGGAGCACUGGGGAAAGCCAGGUGGAGGACCAGCGACCCCUGCUGGGGCCCUUCCUAACCACGCAUUGCCCUUUGCCCUCCAUCACCAAGAACCAUGGAAUAGUCAGGGAAGUCCUAUGCCCAUCCCAAGAACCCAUCACUCAGGACUGAUCUGAGGGCUGCUUGGCUGUGAGAGGGGUUUUCUUAAGGUUGGAGAGGUGCAUCCAGGCUGAUUUGCCUAGAAGUUUGGCUGCAAUAGGGGCGCUCAACCCCCCAGGGUGUGGUCUGGUCCACUUGGGCUUUAAUGGCGAUGGGUGAGAUCUGGCACUCACACCUGGUCUGCGGGUUGGACCUGUAAGGAGACUGGGGAGUCAGUCGGCUGGGGCAGGCAUGGUUGGCAUGGGCUCGCAGCAGGUUACACAAGGGAGAGAGUAAGGGGAGGUGGCUGCCAAGUGGGUGAGUUGGUCCAUGGGGCAAUUGUGAGAGCACAAAGGGGCGUCCAUACACAAGCUCAAAAGGAUCAGAUGGGUGGAUUUGGGGGUGGGGAGAGCCCUUAGUCGGAUGAGGGCCAUAGGGCGGCAGAUAGGCCAUGACUGGUGAGUUUCCAGCCCCAAUUUUGUAAGGUGGGCCUUUAGGAGAUGGUUGGCCUUUUCCGCUUCGCCUGAGACUGGGGAUGAUAGGGCAGGUGUAGUGCUUGUUUUAUAUUGAGGGCCUCAGCCAUGAGCUGAGUGACUCUGGAGACAAACGCUGAUCUGUGGUCAGGCUGGAGGGAGGAUGGAAGGCCACAGCUGGGUGAGGGUCUGGCUCACACCCUCUGCUGUCUCGUGGGUAGGGGUGGGGGGAAGCCUUUGAUCCAUCCAGAAAAGGUGUCUAUUAGGGUUAAAAGAUAUUUAAACAUUUUAUGUCUAGACAUGCGCAUGAAGUCUGUUCAGUCCUGUCCCAGCAGGCCUCCUCCAAACUAGUUAAAAGAGGACAGGGGUGUCAAAGAGCCACCAGGACUUACAGGGGACAGGUUCCCCGUGAGGCAGAUGUGUCCCGUGGGCUUCGGUUAGCCCUCAUAGUGGACGAUAGGUCCGAGGCGCUGUUUUAGGGGCCGCCACCAGUGUGUAGGGAGUUGUGUGGGUCUAGGAGGAACUUGAAGGCAGCAGAGACUCUGGAGCAGCAGCCAGCCCUGGGCCCCGGCGGGCUCUCUGUCGGGUUAGGGUAGAGCCUGGGAGGGCCCUGGACUGGGGUCUGGUCACCGUGAGGUGGCUCGCGGAAGAGCUGCUGUAGCCACAGCCUGCCCAGGACCAAGAGCUGCUGCUUUUCGCUGUGGUGUCAGCUGAGUUGUUUCCUGUGUUUAUACAGCAGCCAGCCUUGGUGACUUUUACAGUGUAGAUCAGCCACGUGAGAUGCUAGGGAUGUGCCUGUGAUGGCUUUUUUAUUAAGGGCCCAUUUUGACCUGAGGAGCCCUGAGCAGUGAGGGACCCCAUUCAUCCCGAUGGAGGGACGGAGAUGAACUAUGCGAUCCGAGUAUUUGGAAUCAGCGUAGAUGUUUAUCGCUUGUUCUUUGGCCUGGUGGGAACACCGGUGAGGGCAGUGAGCUCUGCCUUUUGGGAAGUGGUCCCUGGGGGUGAGGGCCGGCCUCAGUGACACAUCCCAGGGGGACUGCAGCAUAUCCCGCCCCUGUCUGUCCUGCAGAGAUCUGGGUCCCGCUACCGUCUGUGAACCAGGUGUACUGUGGCGGGGGAGCACUGGUGACAGGCAGGGGGAAGGUCGUCGAGGGCACUGCAGCAGUGUGCUGGUGAACAAUCAAAGCAGGCGAAAGGGCAGCAGGGUUGAGUGGCCCGCAGGUGGCCAGGGAAACUUGGGGCUUUCCCACAAAGUCAGAUGAAAUAAUCGGAGUGGGGAAGGAGGGAGGAGAUGGGACGCCCCACGUGCUACCUCUGUGUGAGUCCGUAUUAACAGUACUCAGUGAUGGUGCCUUUGAGUGCGAGCUUCCGAGCCUCUAUCUGCUGCCAGCGCCCGGAGGCAAGGGGACCAUCUGCACACUGUGGGGUCCGGUUGUCUGACUGUAUGCCACAGCUGCUUCAGUGGGGCCUUGGCAUGGGCAAAGGAUCCCGUAUGGCUGUGCCACAGUUCUCAGUGACUGAGGGCAAAGAGCAACACGUGGUUAGGAAGGGCCACGGCAGGAGCACACAGGAGGGCUUGUUGCAGGGUUAGAAAGGCUCGGGUGAUCGCACAGGUGGGGUCAAGUGGCUCCUCCGGGGGCCGUGAGCUGCCUCAUACAGGGGUUUAGCCAAGAGCAUGAGUUUUGGGACUGGGACUCAUAGGCGAAAAUAGCCAAGGAGGCCCCAAAAGGAUAGGAGUUGUUGUUUGGUCAUUGGUUCAGGCAUUUGUCGAAUUGCAUGGUGCCGGUCAAUGGUCAAACCCCGUGUUGUGGGUGUCAGCAAGAACCCUAAGUAUGCGUCUGACUGGUGGAUAACUGAGUUUUAUGGUGAGAAGUGCGGUAGCCCCUGUUGCAGGGGAAGUUUAGGAGCAGCGUGGUCUGCUGAUGAGAAGGCUGUGAGCUAACAGACCAUCGAUGUGCUGGGGCAGGAAGCUGGGGGUUAACUGGAGUGCUGAGGUCAGAGGCCAGGGCCUGACUAGAGCACUGUGGGCCUCCCUGAAGCCUGGGGGAGGCUGUCCAGGUCAGGUGGGACAUAGGGUCCUCCCAAGUGAAGGCAAACAGGGGCCUAGAGUCUGGGUACCAGGGAACAGUGAAGAAGGCGUCUUUGAGAUCCACAGUAAAGAGGGUGGUUGAAGGGGGAAUGGGGCUCAGCAGGGCGUGGGACUGGGGACCCCGGGGUGACCGUACAUACGGCUGAAUUAGUGAUGCGGAGGUCUUGCAUAGCCUGGAGUCCUGCUAUGCUUCUCCAGGAGGGGCGGGCAUGCGGCAGGUGAGUCCGUGGGUGUGAGGCCUUUGCCUCCGUAGCCUCUCUGUGCCGGGCUUGCUGCCCCCCCCCCCGGUGUGGGUGGGAAACGUGAAGUUGGGGUAUGUGAGUGGGUCUUGAGGGCAACUCUGACAGGAGGAUGAUGUGUGGCUAUUGUGGGGCUGCUAGUGUCCCACGUGAGGGUUUUCGUGUCUAAAAGGGAAUCGGGGAUCUCUUGGAGGGACCCGGAGAGGAGAAGGAGUGGUGACAUCACCACCCAAGAAGGUGAGGAAGCACUCAGUGCUCGUGAGAUAGGGCAGCUUGUAGCUUGUGCAGGGCGUCCCUGCCCAGGAGGGGCGCUGGGCAGUUAGGUAAGGUCAGGAAGGGAGUGGAAAGAGCUGGUCUUCAAGCAUGUCAGGGGUGGUGGGGGGCCAUGGGAAACGGCCUUUAAGGUUUGCUCUCAACCUCACAACAGUGAUCCCGUGGUAUGAAGGAAGGAGUAACCAGGAAGCCCCGUGUCUAGGAGAAAGAAUCUGACUCACCCCCCGCCACCGAACAGUUACCCUGGGCCCCCGGGAGCUCACCUGAACCGUGGUGAGGUCAGGCGUCCGUGCACAUGAACCGGGAGCCUUCAGUCCCUGUCCGCCAGGCCGAGGAGCCCGGCUAGUGCAGCUUGUCGCAGUAGAUUAGUUUUGGGGGUACAGGGCUCAUCCCUCUUUGAGGAAGGGCAGUCCAUCCCCCAGUGACUCAGCUCAUUGCAUUUAGGGCACAGACCUGGCAGGCGGAGGUGGACUGGGGUUUGGGUUUUCUCGAGCCCAGUGACCCGUAUUCCCACGUUUAAAGCAGGCCCCAGAGGGCACCUGCUGGGGUUAGCCUGGUUAGCAGGAUCCUCAGGGGGUGUAGGGCCGCUGCCAGGAGUUGAUAUUUUUGUUUGGCACAGCAAGCUUAUCUUUUUGCUCCUGUUCACCCCUCCGACUGAAAACCUUGAAGGCCAGAUUAAUCAGGUCACUGUAUGGGGUAUCUGAGCCCACCUCUAGACUGACUUAUGACAUGGUUAUUUAGGGCCAACUGCCCCUCUCUAGAAGUUGUGUCCACCCUAGGAAAUUUGGUUAGAGCCUCAGUGAGGCGGGACAUCACAGCAGGAUUCCCGUCAGGCCUUUGCCUGUCCUCCUUGAGUGUUUCCCCUGCUCCUGGGGGAACAGUUGGGUCAUGUAACGCUUCUCUUCUGGGUGGGCUUGCGUACCCAGGCAAAUAGCUUCUUUUUCCUCUGCAGUGAGGGCAGAGGAAAGGAAACAGAGGUAGCAGUCCAUGUUAGCUGGUAAGUCUGGGUUAGGUAUUUGAAUUCUUUGAUGUAGGUGGUGGGGUUUUCUGUGAAGGACCUGGGUCACUUUUCAAUUUGGCAUAAAUCCGAAAGCUACCGAGGGUUGUGUACGUUGACUAAACCUUCCACUCAGGCCACCUGUCUAAGAGGGGUCUGGGGCAGGUCAUGAGAGCGAGUGUGGCCAACGGGGAGACGGCAUAGAUGGGGAUCACAGUGUGGGGGCGCCGGAGGUGCCGAAGGAGAGGCUGGGGAUGGUGAAUGUGGGGUUGUGGAUGAGGCUUCUCUCGGGAAGACCUCUGAUGGGGAGGGGACCUCUCGUACUGGAACCGCAGAUGGAGAUGGGGACCAGGAGCCAGCCACGCGGUCUACGAGGGCGUCGCGUAUAUAGGGGAAGGGGGUCAUCCGAUUGGGAAGGGAAAGAGCAGGGAUGGAAAAUCUGGGCCUCAGGGUCCUGAUCAGGAGGAGGCUUGGGGAAAGCUUUAGCGAGGAGAAUUUGGGUGAGGUCACAGGACACACAAAGUUGAAGCUGAUUGUGCAGUGUGGAAAACACACAGGGAACUUCAGACCCGUUCCCGUUGGUCCGGCCAAAGUUAGCUAAAUCCCUUAGAAUAUCAAAGUCUGGUGCGCCCCCUGGCGGCCAAACUGAGCCAUUAUCUAGGCGGUACUGGGGCCACGCAGUCUGGCCAAGUUUAGGCAGUUAGGUUCCAAUUCCGCCCAAGGGCUUCAAGGCAGUCCAACACUGAGACCCCAGCAACCAGGGUAGGCGGCAACCAGUCCUGCCUGCAGGGGUCCGAGACUGCAGGGGUCUCAGAAGAGGCUCUCUGUCGGGAGUGUAGGAGCCCCUAAGGGACGCAGGCCCUAAGCUCCCAGGCAGGCGUCCCGGGUUGGGACUGAGUCAGAAGUAGACGGUGUCCGGCACGGCUUUGUAGGCCAGAGGCAGAGCGAUCCUAAAGAUCACUACAGACGGCCUGGAUGUAGGGGUGCUGACUGUUGGUGGGAGAAAGAAGAGGAAGAAGGAAAUGAGGGAACAGAAAGCGAGGCCGUGGUGAGUCCGAGGAGGGGCCCUGGAAGAACUCGCAGUGCGCCCUGUAAGAAGCCCUCCAGCGAGGCAACGGGAGAGGGUAAGGGACCGCCUCGGAGGGUGCAGGGCUGAUGUGGAGGAAAGGGGAGGCGGGGUGCACAGGUGUUGCACAGCACGGGAUAGGGACGGAAAGGAGAGCGUGUACUCACUUUAGCAUUAUCCCUGAUGUCACAUGAUAGUGUCUAUUAUGUGCUUGCUGAUAGCAAAUGUGAAAAUGAGAUGCAAAUGAAGGUACUCACCGGCUGUGUCACGGAGUGUGGUGAAACCAGCGACCGGGAGGAUCUGCAGGGUCUGUCGUCCACAGACCUGGGGGCUAUGGCACGGUCAGGAGGGACCAGCCGGAAGCCUUGGCGUCCCUGCGGGGGUUUCAGCACAGUGAAGGCUCACAGAGACUGCAACCUGUUGGGCGCAGGUGCUCAACAUACCAUACCCCACCCGGGACUAAGGACCACGCCAGCUUCCGCAAUGCGCUACGUCCCUCUUUAAAUUAGCCAACCCGUGCGCACUUCGUGCUCACUCCGUACUCUGUGGCAACUCCUGAUUGGCCACAGCUGGAUAUAGUAGCCGGAGCCUGCGUCCCAUUCCCGCCCUGCUUCCUCGUGGCAGCCCGUGAUUGGUCACGGCCAAAUAUAUAAACCAGAGCCCCCUAAAUAAACCAGCAGUUAACUGUCGCCCACAAGAGCGUCUCCUGUCUCAUUGGGGAGCUGCGCCGGUCAAUUGGUGGCCCGUACGGGGAGCGCGGAACGCUGAGACCCUCUCUCCCGUCUCCGACAGUACGGGGAACGAACCUCUCUCUCCGAUGGAACAGAGACGUUAACAGCUGUUGUUAUGCAGGUACUCCAGUUCGUACCAAUUCCAGUUAUGACGGACCCAGACGAGUUUCCUGUGAUCCAGCUCGGGCCAACUCUCCAAUUGGCUUUCAUAAAGGAAUGGGCAGGAACAGGGGCUCUGGCUACCAUGACUACACUUGCCGCAUUCGGCAGUCUACUUCUGCUCUGUCGGAUUCGCAGACAAAGGAAUAGGGACAAAGUAUCAAACAAGCAUUGCUGAUCAUGGAAUCUGGUCAAAGCCCGGCAGCAUGGCUUGCCAUGCUGUGACACAGGUGUGGAGCAAAGCAUCGCAGGGGGUGUCGUCCUUGGCCAGGAGACACCCCGGUCCCCAUGUCGGCGAGCAUGCGGGUUGGGCUCAUAAAACAAUACUCCCGCCCCCUCCAAAAGAGCACCAACGAGUAGUGAGGCACUGUCAUGACUGCAGCGUGACAAUUCACAAGGGGCACCGACCUCUGGAGACCCUGCAUCAGUUAUAAAGAAAGGGGGAGAUGUUGGGUGCAGGCGCUCAACAUACCAUACCCCACCCGGGACUAAGGACCAUGCCAGCUUCCGCAAUGCGCUACGUCCCUCCUUAAAUUAGCCAACCCGUGCGCACUUUGUGCUCACUCCGUACUCUGUGGCAACUCCUGAUUGGCCACAGCUGGAUAUAGUAGCCAGAGCCUACAUCCCAUUCCCGCCCUGCUUCCUCGUGGCAGCCUGUGAUUGGUCACGGCCAAAUAUAUAAACCAGAGCCCAUGUAAAUAAACCAGCAGUUAACUGUGCCCACAA